RNAcentral lists this ribosomal RNA (417 nucleotides) under uncultured eukaryote. Its description in RNAcentral is "SSU rRNA". It matches the Rfam family "Eukaryotic small subunit ribosomal RNA", at positions 592 to 1011 of the family's 1831-position model. The record is from RNAcentral.
CAAUAGCGUAUAUUAAAACUGUUGCGGUUAAAACGCUCGUAGUUGGAUAUUUGUUGGAGAGCACUGGUCCACCCCAGUGGUGCGUACUUGGUGCUUCUUUGACAUCUUACUGGAGAAAGUACGUGCGCUUCGCUGCGUGUGUGCAUGAACCAGAACUUUUACUUUGAGGAAAUGAGAGUGUUUCAAGCAGGCCUUUGCCAUGAAUACGUUAGCAUGGAAUAAUAACAUAGGACCUUGAGUCGUUGUUGUUGGUUGACGACACAAGGUAAUAAAAAUAGGGAGUAUUGGGGGCGAUUCGUAUUACAAUGUCAGAGGUGAAAUUCUUGGAUUAUUGUACGACGGACUACUGCGAAAGCAUUUGUCCAAGGAUGUUUUUUUAAUUCAAGAACGAAAGUUAGGGGAGUCGAAGACGAUUAG